GAACAGAAAUGACAGCAUCACUCGCAUGGAGACUCCUCCAUCUCUGUCUUCCCUGUUGUGACAGUCUCAGAGCCUACGUUCUUUCAAUGGCUGGGCUACAAGAUGGUGACAGGCUGCCCAACCUGACACAGCAAGAAGGCGGCCAUCUGCAAACCAGAAAGAGAGCCCUCACCAGGAACCGGAUCUGCUGGCACCUUGAUCUUGGACUUCCUAUCCUUUAGAGCUGUGAGAAAUGUCGCCCCCAGGUCAAUGGGAUAUUUGUUACAGCACCAGGUACUGCCUGAGAACUCUACCUUUAGGGAGCCUGCGUGCUGGGUCACUGGGGAGACAAUGAAGGUGCUUGACACCCAGUUUGAAUAUUGUGUCACUGCAAAGCUGACUGCUGUUGAAGGAUAGCCAGUGAGAGGUCAUGGCAAGCCAUCAGAAGAAGCAGAAGUCAUGAGCAUGCUGAAGCUAUGAGGCCAAGACAAAAUGUCACAUUGCCACAAGAAGAGGGACAAACAGGCAACAGGCAGAGCCCAUGGGAAUCAGUAAUCUCCUGCUGACACUGAGGCCUUGGGACUAACUCAGAUCCAGUACUACUCUCUUGGGACCUGUUCUGACUCCAGCUCCUGUCCUUGGGGUCCACUGAGAUCCCUGUAGCCUUGUAAUAAGCCCACAUUAUCAUAUUUCCCCUGCCGGCUCCACCCUAGAGCAUUUCCAACAAUUUCCAGUGCUUUUCCCCUUCUCAUACCACUGGGCCUUUGCACGUGCUCGUGCCUCCCCAACUUGCCCUGCCUUCUCCUUCACCCAGACAACUCCUACUAAAUCUCUCAGACUCCUCAGCUGUGUCCCUUCCUAGGGGAGGACUCUCUUCCCUCCAGUGAGCCCGGUGGUCCUCCCUGGGAUCCCCUGCUCCUUGUCUUCCCUGCCGUCCUUACUGCCAUCCUUGUUCUCUACUCAGAAGGAGGCAGAGGCUGGCCUGCCCCCAAUCCCCUGUAGACUGACCAGAUGAAUUGACCUGGGCUGGGCAGGGCAGGCGUGUUUGACCAGUUGUCUGGGCACCCCAUGGCUCAGUCAAGUUGACACAUAAAGUUCACCGCCCCAGGGCCCCUUCGUUGUAUUUGUGUAUGAAUAAAACACAGCAUCCACUCCAGGUAUCUGAGGGUCCUGGAGGCAGGUUUUGUGAUCCCUUUUUACAGAUGAGGAUGCGGAGGUCCAGUUGUCACUCACCCAGAUCACACUCUCAUCUGCUGAUGGGAGGAGUAUUUGAUGGGAUGUGUGAGCCCGGCCGUCUCCCUUGGGACACAUCAGCUCAUUAAAUUUGCCAGCCCCUGCCUGAAAAAGUAUUUAAUUUGCCUUUUACAAUGCACCCAUUGCAAGUUAAUUAACUGGCAAUUGAAAGUUAUAGGUGGCAUUAGAAUUUAUUAAUAACAUUGGGAAUAAAUCUCCCUGGAAUUCAAUUAACUGAAAA
RNAcentral lists this long non-coding RNA (1453 nucleotides) under Homo sapiens (human). Its description in RNAcentral is "HSALNT0342385". The record is from RNAcentral. Lineage: Eukaryota; Metazoa; Chordata; Mammalia; Primates; Hominidae.